Molecule: long non-coding RNA, 202 nt
Filed under: Nicotiana benthamiana
Lineage: Eukaryota; Viridiplantae; Streptophyta; Magnoliopsida; Solanales; Solanaceae
Description: long non-coding RNA (NBEN_LNC000448)
Source: RNAcentral
UAAAACUUGUGGUCUUAAAAGGUUAAGGGGUAAAAGGUUCAUGGGGUCAUACCAUUUGUGUGGCUAUAAAAGCUUCUCACUAAGGGCAAAAAUGGUAAAUGAAGAGUCUAAAGUUGAAUUAUUUCUAAAUUUAGAAAUGUAUUAUUCAUUUUGAAACAGACUAAAAAGAAAAGUACCUCAAACAAUAUGAAACAGAUGGAGU